This 468-nucleotide ribosomal RNA is filed under the name uncultured bacterium. RNAcentral's name for it is "partial 16S ribosomal RNA". It matches the Rfam family "Bacterial small subunit ribosomal RNA", at positions 28 to 507 of the family's 1533-position model. The record is from RNAcentral.
GACGAACGCUGGCGGCGUGCUUAACACAUGCAAGUCGAACGGAAAGGCCCUGCUUUUGUGGGGUGCUCGAGUGGCGAACGGGUGAGUAACGCGUGAGUAACCUGCCCUUGACUUUGGGAUAACUUCAGGAAACUGGGGCUAAUACCGGAUAGGAGCUCCCGCUGCAUGGUGGGGGUUGGAAAGUUUCGGCGGUUGGGGAUGGACUCGCGGCUUAUCAGCUUGUUGGUGGGGUAGUGGCUUACCAAGGCUUUGACGGGUAGCCGGCCUGAGAGGGUGACCGGCCACAUUGGGACUGAGAUACGGCCCAGACUCCUACGGGAGGCAGCAGUGGGGAAUAUUGCACAAUGGGCGGAAGCCUGAUGCAGCAACGCCGCGUGCGGGAUGACGGCCUUCGGGUUGUAAACCGCUUUCGCCUGUGACGAAGCGUGAGUGACGGUAAUGGGUAAAGAAGCACCGGCUAACUACGUG